AUGAACGCUGGCGGCGUGCUUAACACAUGCAAGUCGAACGGAAAGGCCCUGCUUUUGUGGGGUGCUCGAGUGGCGAACGGGUGAGUAACACGUGAGUAACCUGCCCUUGACUUUGGGAUAACUUCAGGAAACUGGGGCUAAUACCGGAUAGGAGCUCCUGCUGCAUGGUGGGGGUUGGAAAGUUUCGGCGGUUGGGGAUGGACUCGCGGCUUAUCAGCUUGUUGGUGGGGUAGUGGCUUACCAAGGCUUUGACGGGUAGCCGGCCUGAGAGGGUGACCGGCAAAAUGGGGAAUCAAAAACGCCCAAACCUCCUCGGGGGGGCAAAGGUGGGGAAUAUUGACAAAGGGGGGGAAACCUAGUACAAAAACGCGCGGGCGGGGAGGAGGGCCUUCGGGUUGAAAACCGUUUUCGCCUGUGACGAAGCGUGAGUGAGGGUAAGGGGAAAAGAACCCCCGGCUAACUACG
RNAcentral lists this ribosomal RNA (465 nucleotides) under uncultured bacterium. Its description in RNAcentral is "partial 16S ribosomal RNA". It matches the Rfam family "Bacterial small subunit ribosomal RNA", at positions 29 to 505 of the family's 1533-position model. The record is from RNAcentral.